This 561-nucleotide transfer RNA is filed under the name uncultured cyanobacterium. Its description in RNAcentral is "16S-23S ribosomal RNA intergenic spacer". The stretch from base 273 to 345 matches the Rfam family "tRNA". The record is from RNAcentral. Lineage: Bacteria; Bacillati; Cyanobacteriota.
AGGGAGACCUAACCCACUUUAGACCGAGCAUUUUUUAUUAGGUCAAAGUGAGGUCAAUCCCAAGGUCGUGCCCGUGAUUUAGGUGAAGCUCUCAAACUACUCUGGGUUCAGUUGAUUAAUUAGUUUGAUUAGUUAGUUAAUCUGUAAUUGUGCUGAACUCGUGGGCUAUUAGCUCAGGUGGUUAGAGCGCACCCCUGAUAAGGGUGAGGUCCCUGGUUCGAGUCCAGGAUGGCCCACUUUAGGAGCUACUAGUUUCGGCUUUUAGCGAAUGGGGGGGUUUAGCUCAGUUGGUAGAGCGCCUGCUUUGCAAGCAGGAUGUCAGCGGUUCGAGUCCGCUAACCUCCACUGGUUAAGUUGUUUUAUCUGUUGGGAAAGUUCUACAGCAACUUGUCUUAAGUAGUUAAUAGACUAGCUAAGAGAGCCUGCUGGAGAGAUUCCAGUGAGAACCUUGAAAACUGCAUAGUGAUUUGUCAGGUAGGGAGUAGAUGCUCUAGCGAAAGGUUUAACAGUCUGUCGUUAGGUGCGAACUACUCGUAUCAUAGACACCAAUGUUGAAAUUGU